GACGAACGCUGGCGGCGUGCUUAACACAUGCAAGUCGAACGGAAAGGCCCUGCUUUUGUGGGGUGCUCGAGUGGCGAACGGGUGAGUAACACGUGAGUAACCUGCCCUUGACUUUGGGAUAACUUCAGGAAACUGGGGCUAAUACCGGAUAGGAGCUCCUGCUCCAUGGUGGGGGUUGGAAAGUUUCGGCGGUUGGGGAUGGACUCGCGGCUUAUCCGCUUGUUGGUGGGGUAGUGGCUUACCAAGGCUUUGACGGGUAGCCGGCCUGAGAGGGUGACCGGCCACAUUGGGACUAAGAGACGGCGCAGACUGCUACGGGAGGCAGCAGGGGGGAGUAUGGCACAAUGGGCGGAAGCCUGAGGCAGCAGCGCCGCGGGCGGGAUGACGGCCUUCGGGGUAUAAACCGCUUUCGCCUGUGACGAAGCGGGAGUGACGGUAAUGGAUAAAGAAGCACCGGCUAACUACGUG
RNAcentral lists this ribosomal RNA (468 nucleotides) under uncultured bacterium. Its description in RNAcentral is "partial 16S ribosomal RNA". It matches the Rfam family "Bacterial small subunit ribosomal RNA", at positions 28 to 507 of the family's 1533-position model. The record is from RNAcentral.